GAGUUUGAUCAUGGCUCAGGAUGAACGCUGGCGGCGUGCCUAAUACAUGCAAGUCGAGCGAACAGACGAGGAGCUUGCNCCUCUGACGUUAGCGGCGGACGGGUGAGUAACACGUGGAUAACCUACCUAUAAGACUGGGAUAACUUCGGGAAACCGGAGCUAAUACCGGAUAAUAUAUUGAACCGCAUGGUUCAAUAGUGAAAGACGGUUUUGCUGUCACUUAUAGAUGGAUCCGCGCCGCAUUAGCUAGUUGGUAAGGUAACGGCUUACCAAGGCAACGAUGCGUAGCCGACCUGAGAGGGUGAUCGGCCACACUGGAACUGAGACACGGUCCAGACUCUACGGGAGGCAGCAGUAGGGAAUCUUCCGCAAUGGGCGAAAGCUGACGGAGCAACGCCGCGUGAGUGAUGAAGGUCUUCGGAUCGUAAAACUCUGUUAUUAGGGAAGAACAAAUGUGUAAGUAACUAUGCACGUCUUGACGGUACCUAAUCAGAAAGCCACGGCUAACUACGUGCCAGCAGCCGCGGUAAUACGUAGGUGGCAAGCGUUAUCCGGAAUUAUUGGGCGUAAAGCGCGCGUAGGCGGUUUUUUAAGUCUGAUGUGAAAGCCCACGGCUCAACCGUGGAGGGUCAUUGGAAACUGGAAAACUUGAGUGCAGAAGAGGAAAGUGGAAUUCCAUGUGUAGCGGUGAAAUGCGCAGAGAUAUGGAGGAACACCAGUGGCGAAGGCGACUUUCUGGUCUGUAACUGACGCUGAUAUGCGAAAGCGUGGGGAUCAAACAGGAUUAGAUACCCUGGUAGUCCACGCCGUAAACGAUGAGUGCUAAGUGUUAGGGGGUUUCCGCCCCUUAGUGCUGCNNNNAACGCAUUAAGCACUCCGCCUGGGGAGUACGA
Molecule: ribosomal RNA, 893 nt
Filed under: Staphylococcus sp.
Lineage: Bacteria; Bacillati; Bacillota; Bacilli; Caryophanales; Staphylococcaceae
Description: bacterial SSU rRNA
Rfam family: Bacterial small subunit ribosomal RNA
Source: RNAcentral